GAAAUGCGAUAAGUAAUGUGAAUUGCAGAAUUCAGUGAAUCAUCGAAUCUUUGAACGCACAUUGCGCCCGCCAGUAUUCUGGCGGGCAUGCCUUUUCGAGCGUCAUUACAACCCUCAGGCCCCCGGGCCUGGCGUUGGGGAUCGGCGGAAGCCCCCUGCGGGCACAACGCCGUCCCCCAAAUACAGUGGCGGUCCCGCCGCAGCUUCCAUUGCGUAGUAGCUAACACCUCGCAACUGGAGAGCGGCGCGGCCACGCCGUAAAACACCCAACUUCUGAAUGUUGACCUCGAAUCAGGUAGGAAUACCCGCUGAACUUAAGC
RNAcentral lists this unclassified non-coding RNA (320 nucleotides) under plant metagenome. Its description in RNAcentral is "partial contains 5.8S ribosomal RNA, internal transcribed spacer 2, and large subunit ribosomal RNA". The stretch from base 1 to 105 matches the Rfam family "5.8S ribosomal RNA", at positions 50 to 154 of the family's 154-position model. The record is from RNAcentral.